AUUGAACGCUGGCGGCAGGCUUAACACAUGCAAGUCGAGCGGAGUGAUGGUGCUUGCACUAUCACUUAGCGGCGGACGGGUGAGUAAUGCUUAGGAAUCUGCCUAUUAGUGGGGGACAACAUCUCGAAAGGGAUGCUAAUACCGCAUACGUCCUACGGGGGAAAGCAGGGGAUCACUUGUGACCUUGCGCUGAUAGAUGAGCCUAAGUCGGAUUAGCUAGUUGGUGGGGUAAAGGCCUACCAAGGCGAAGAUCUGUAGCGGGUCUGAGAGGAUGAUCCGCGACACUGGGACUGAGACACGGCCCAGACUCCUACGGGAGGCAGCAGUGGGGAAUAUUGGACAAUGGGGGGAACCCUGAUCCAGCCAUGCCGCGUGUGUGAAGAAGGCCUUAUGGUUGUAAAGCACUUUAAGCGAGGAGGAGGCUCUUUUGGUUAAUACCCAAGAUGAGUGGACGUUACUCGCAGAAUAAGCACCGGCUAACUCUGUGCCAGCCGCCGCGGUAA
RNAcentral lists this ribosomal RNA (503 nucleotides) under uncultured bacterium. Its description in RNAcentral is "partial 16S ribosomal RNA". It matches the Rfam family "Bacterial small subunit ribosomal RNA", at positions 30 to 523 of the family's 1533-position model. The record is from RNAcentral.